RNAcentral lists this transfer RNA (80 nucleotides) under Dracunculus medinensis (Guinea worm). It matches the Rfam family "tRNA". Rfam says of the family: Transfer RNA (tRNA) molecules are approximately 80 nucleotides in length. Their secondary structure includes four short double-helical elements and three loops (D, anti-codon, and T loops). Lineage: Eukaryota; Metazoa; Nematoda; Chromadorea; Rhabditida; Dracunculidae. The record is from Rfam by way of RNAcentral.
AGUGAGAUGUCCGAGUGGUUAAAGAGUUGGACUUGAAAUCCAAUGGGCUCUGCCCGCGUAGGUUCGAAUCCUACUCGCUG